This 434-nucleotide ribosomal RNA is filed under the name uncultured bacterium. Its description in RNAcentral is "partial 16S ribosomal RNA". It matches the Rfam family "Bacterial small subunit ribosomal RNA", at positions 29 to 507 of the family's 1533-position model. The record is from RNAcentral.
AGCGAACGCUGGCGGCAGGCCUAACACAUGCAAGUCGAACGAACCUUUCGGGGUUAGUGGCGGACGGGUGUGUAACACGUGGGAACGUGCCUUUAGGCUCGGAAUAACUCAGGGACACUUGUGCUAAUACCGAAUGUGCCCUUCGGGGGCAAGAUUUAUCGCCGUUAGAGGGGCCCGCGUCUGAUUAGCUAGUUGGUUGAGGUAAUGGCUCACCAAGGCGACGAUCAGUAGCUGGUCUGAGAGGAUGAUCAGCCACAUUGGGACUGAGACACGGCCCAAACUCUUGCGGGAGGCAGGAGUGGGGAAUCUUGCGCAAUGGGCGAAAGCCUGACGCAGCCAUGCCGCGUGAAUGAUGAAGGUCUGAGGAUUGUAAAAUUCUUUCACCGGGGACGAUAAUGACGGUACCCGGAGAAGAAGCCCCGGCUAACUUCGUG